This 226-nucleotide ribosomal RNA is filed under the name uncultured bacterium. Its description in RNAcentral is "partial 16S ribosomal RNA". It matches the Rfam family "Bacterial small subunit ribosomal RNA", at positions 538 to 763 of the family's 1533-position model. The record is from RNAcentral.
GCGUUAUCCGGAUUCACUGGGUUUAAAGGGUGCGUAGGCGGGCAGGUAAGUCCGUGGUGAAAUCUCUGAGCUUAACUCAGAAACUGCCAUGGAUACUGUUUGUCUUGAAUAUUGUAGAGGUAAGUGGAAUAUGUCAUGUAGCGGUGAAAUGCGUAGAUAUGACAUAGAACACCAAUUGCGAAGGCAGCUUCCUGGACAGUUAUUGACGCUGAGGCACGAAAGCGUG